CACUGUGAGCGGCAAUGUGGCAGAGCUCUGCUGGGUUCUCGCAGCAGACAGAGAGCAAAUUAAGCGUGUGUGAUUUAGAUUUGGAAGGUGGAACCUUGUCCUUCGUAUCGCAGACACUCCAACCACACACUUGGGUGAGCACCAGCAGAGCCCGGCAUCCACAAAACCACACAGUGGGGAAUCCUAAUGACUUUGUGCGGUAGUAUCUCGAGACUUGAUUUGACAGUGAAAAGAAAAAUGCUGCGUCAAAGGAGUGCAGAGGAAUAUCAAAGGGGUUUGCCCAGGAACCUCCCAGUGGUGAAGAAGUCAGCAGCCAAACUGCUCAUUAACGGCAAGUCUUGGAACCAAUUCAUCCUCGUCCUGUGUGACCUUCACUGGCUCCGUGUCAAACACAGAAUCCGUCCAAAAAAUUCACCUACUGAAAUAGUAAUACUGACAAUGCACUCCAUCACCUCCCCCUCUCUCUCUCUCACCUCACUGACCUCCUGCUCUCCCACCAACCCACCCGCUCACGCAGGUCCUCUUCUGCUGAGAACCUCAUCGCCCCAAAAUUGAACCUCCACAGUUUUGGUGACAGAGCAUUUUUCGGGGUUUUAUGCAGGCUCUGGAACUCCCUCACCCCUCCAGUCUGAAAUUCAUAAUCCAUCAUCAUCUUCCUUUCACGUCUCAAAUCCCAGUUUUUCUCCCUGGCCUAUGAGUAAUCUGCACCUCCCUCCCCCACACGCAGAUACUCAUGCACUCUCUCACACCUAGACCCCCCUCCCCAUGGAAGUUUCUAUUUCAGCCUUUCUUUGCCCAGACUUUUUGUUUAUUUUGUUUAUUCUUAUGUACUUAUGCUACCCAAAUAUGUCAGUAUUUGUCUUUCCUUAUAUUAUGUUUGUAAUACUGUAAUGUGAUUACUAUUAUUAUUGUUGUUGUUGUUGUUAUUAUUGUUGUUAUUAUUAUUAUUAUUGUGAUUGCAGGUCCAGAGUCAAGAUUUGUAAGUCUGUCUGGCUUUAUUUUAUUUACUUGCUACACACAAACGAGGCAAUCAUCCCAGUGUAAGUGGCACAAACAUGUUAUUUGUUAUGGAGAACAUGGAACGAGCCAGGAAUGAGCCAGGAACAAGCUUCAAUCCUUCCCCCAAAAAUUGUAAUCCUGAAAUACAGCAUAAAGAUUUUCACAAAAUACCUGAAAUAUUAAUAUAAUUGUAUGAAAUAUUCUGACACCUAUUUGAUGGUAAGUCCUACUGAUCGGGUAGCUGCUGCUCUUAAAAUCCUCUUUUGAAUUGCCAGUGUUUGUUGCUCUCUUAUUCAGUAUUAUAUUGCAUGCUUUUGGAGAUGUCAUAUAUAGGGCCCAGACAAAUGUUCAAGCAGGUAAUCCUGUUGGCAGUAUUCAGCAAUGUUUGCCAGUCAGUACAGACUUGUAAAUAAUAAUACAAUUGGGGACUAAUUAUGAAGUAAUUAUCUGUGCAAAGAAAUUAAAUAAUGCAAAAGGAAGUCAAACAUGGACACACAAACAGCAUCAAGGCAGAUGUCAGAGUAAAACUGUAUUAUCAGUACAUUGUAUUCUAAAGGAUUAAAGGAUUCAAUUUAUUAUGCAUGUCUUGCCACUUAUCUUUAGACCACAGGAUCAAGAUUACAACAGACCAGCAUUUACAGACACAAAAACAUAGCAAAUGACUAAGAUGCAGGCAAGGGGAAAACAGCAGUGAAAAAUCUCUAAAAUUACAUGCAUUUUUAAAAAGGAGCAUGUGGUAAAUGCAGUAAAACUGUCUCAGCAGGAAAAUAAGAUAUACAGACCAUUCAAGGGAUAAAUUUGCUUGGGAAGUUUAUUUUACUUAUUGGUAUUUUUACCAAUAAGACUGCCUCCUGAGCCAUCCAAAAUCAGAUGGGAACUUGGUAUUUAGCUGUAGAGAACCAUUCUAACUGCAUUGGGUUUCAUUUAAGGUUUGUGGAGACAUACAUUACACCCAGCACCAGUGCAUUAGAGAUGCUUAGCAGAUUGUUGGACGACAUUAACAGUUUGGAGAGUUAGCUCCCUCUAGUUGUACAACAUGAAAAGAGCUUCACAGACCUCGUCCAGUGGUCAGAAAGCAUAAUUCACAAAACUAACGAUAAACUUUGAGCUGCCAAUGAAUGCAUAUCCACUAUUGGCAUAACUGGUUCACAGCCCGGACAGAACAAAAAAUUCCAUCAAGGUACAAAAAAUCUCACUGAAUAUUAAAGCCCCACUCCCUAGAAAAGGAAGAGAGUUUCACAGAUUCCUGAAUGAAAAUUAUGACAUUUCAUUUAUGAACUGUUGGAGGGGAGGUAGUUUACAGUGUUGCUGAUGAUGACAAUGAAUAUGUCACAGGAGGGAUUUCAGUGCUAUAUAUAGUACCAUAAAAAUUAUGGUAACCAUAGAGAAAAUGUGUUUUUUGUUAUUUUUAGCUGCUUCUGUAAUAUGUUAGAACAUAUACACAUGUAAAUACCAUGAAAUAAAAGUGAUUGCCUGUG
Molecule: long non-coding RNA, 2477 nt
Organism: Anguilla anguilla (European eel)
Lineage: Eukaryota; Metazoa; Chordata; Actinopteri; Anguilliformes; Anguillidae
Exons: 2
Source: RefSeq, a predicted model, not a curated record